This 776-nucleotide ribosomal RNA is filed under the name uncultured Neocallimastigales. RNAcentral describes it as "partial large subunit ribosomal RNA". It matches the Rfam family "Eukaryotic large subunit ribosomal RNA", at positions 23 to 644 of the family's 3401-position model. Lineage: Eukaryota; Fungi; Neocallimastigomycota; Neocallimastigomycetes; Neocallimastigales. The record is from RNAcentral.
GAGACUCUGUGCGCGUGCAUAUCAAUAAGCGGAGGAAAAGAAACUAACAAGGAUUCCCCUAGUAACGGCGAGUGAAGCGGGAAGGGCUCAAAUUUGAAAUCUUCAAGGGUUUCCCUUGACGAAUUGUAGUUUAAAGAAGUGGUUUCUGUUAGAGAGGUGGUAAAAGUUCUUUGGAAUAGGACAUCAUAGAGGGUGAGAAUCCCGUAUUUGAUCACUUUCUACUAACGUUGUGAUACACUUUCAAAGAGUCGGAUUGUUUGGGAAUGCAGUCCAAAAUGGGUGGUAAAUUUCAUCUAAAGCUAAAUAUUGGCGAGAGACCGAUAGCGAACAAGUACCGUGAGGGAAAGAUGAAAAGAACUUUGAAAAGAGAGUUAAACAGUACGUGAAAUUGUCAAAAGGGAAGCGUUUGACACCAGUGUUGUUUUUCCGAAAAUCAAUUAUGAAUGGCUUGAUUUUAAGUUUCAUGACCUUAAAAGCUUGUUUCUUAUUUUUCGUGUCUUUCGUAAUGCACUUUUCGGUUAACAAGUCAACAUCAAUUUCUUUUGUUGUAAAAGGGUAAGAGGAAGGUGGCUUGCGCUUCGGCUCAAGUGUUUAUAGCCUUUUAAUCUCUGCAAUCGGAGAGACUGAGGUCUGCAGCGUAGAUCCUUCGGGGUUAGAUACAUUUGUGCUAAGUUAUAAGCUUUUCAUAGACAACUUGUCGACUAUGUUUAGUCAUGUAGCUUACUCGCUUAUGCUAUUUUACCUACGCUUAGGAUGUUGAAUCUGUGCGAGACUAC